Molecule: ribosomal RNA, 498 nt
Filed under: uncultured bacterium
Lineage: Bacteria
Description: partial 16S ribosomal RNA
Rfam family: Bacterial small subunit ribosomal RNA
Source: RNAcentral
AUUGAACGCUGGCGGCAUGCUUUACACAUGCAAGUCGAACGGCAGCGCGGGGCAACCUGGCGGCGAGUGGCGAACGGGUGAGUAAUAUAUCGGAACGUACCCAGAAGUGGGGGAUAACGUAGCGAAAGUUACGCUAAUACCGCAUACGAUCUACGGAUGAAAGUGGGGGACCUUCGGGCCUCAUGCUUGUGGACCGGCCGAUAUCUGAUUAGCUAGUUGGUGAGGUAAAGGCUCACCAAGGCGACGAUCAGUAGCUGGUCUGAGAGGACGACCAGCCACACUGGGACUGAGGCACGGCCCAGACUCCUACGGGAGGCAGCAGUGGGGAAUUUUGGACAAUGGGCGCAAGCCUGAUCCAGCAAUGCCGCGUGAGUGAAGAAGGCCUUCGGGUUGUAAAGCUCUUUUGUCAGGGAAGAAACGGCUUGGGCUAAUAUCCUGGGCUAAUGACGGUACCUGAAGAAUAAGCACCGGCUAACUACGUGCCAGCCGCCGCAGUAA